This 531-nucleotide ribosomal RNA is filed under the name uncultured bacterium. Its description in RNAcentral is "bacterial SSU rRNA". It matches the Rfam family "Bacterial small subunit ribosomal RNA", at positions 777 to 1304 of the family's 1533-position model. The record is from RNAcentral.
AAUAGAUACCCGGGUAGUCCACGCUGUAAACGAUGUGCACUAGAUGGUGGGAAUGUGGACCAUUUCCGUAUCAAAGCUAACGCAUUAAGUGCACCGCCUGGGGAGUACGGUCGCAAGACUAAAACUCAAAGGGAAUUGACGGGGGCCCGCACAAGCGGUGGAUUAUGUGGUUUAAUUCGAAGCAACGCGCAGAACCUUACCUAGGCUUGAAGUCCCACGAACCCGGCCCAAAGCUGGGGUGCCCUUUGGGGAAUGUGGUGAUAGGCGCUGCAUGGCUGUCGUCAGCUCGUGUCGUGAGAUGUUGGGUUAAGUCUCGCAACGAGCGCAACCCCUAUCCUUAGUUGCCAGCAUUAAGUUGGGCACUCUAGGGGAGACUGCCUGGGUUAACCAGGAGGAAGAUGGGGAUGACGUCAAGUCCUCAUGGCCCUUAUGUCUAGGGCUACACACGUAAUACAAUGGCACAUACAAAGGGAAGCGAACUCGGCGAGGGGGAGCAAAUCUCAAAAAGUGUGUCUCAGUCCGGAUUGGAGU